AAUUUUUGUGGCAAAUUGUCAUCUAUUGAAGGCGUAUUAAAGUCCAUUUUGAAGGUUUAAUAACUUGACGUUGUUGUCGCUACAGCUGAUAAAAUAAAGGCUUUAAAUAAUACCCAUGCUCGGCUGUGGAUUAUCACUAGUAUUGUUUUGACCACAACACUGAAAGUACAUGAAAUAAAUAAGUAGUAUUAUUUGCAUACAAGAGUUUUAUGAAAUAAACAGUGAUGUACGGCCCACCCGGAGGACCACACCACCCGCCACACCACUCCCCGCACCACCAUCCGCACCACCAUCCGCACCACCAUCCGCACCACCAUCCGCAUCACCCCCCCCCACCACCAGGCCCCCCCGGACCGCACGCCCCGCCCCCUGGACCACCCCAUCAUCAUCCCCAUCACCCUCCACCACCACCGCAUCAUCACCAUCCGCCAGGACCCGGACCGUUCCUACGUUGAUGAUGUAAUGAUGGGGUGGAAUAGACAUCAGAUCUGCCAACUUAUUUUUACUUUUUUAAUGAAAAUUGAUUGAAAACUCCUCA
Molecule: long non-coding RNA, 538 nt
Organism: Plodia interpunctella (Indianmeal moth)
Lineage: Eukaryota; Metazoa; Arthropoda; Insecta; Lepidoptera; Pyralidae
Exons: 2
Source: RefSeq, a predicted model, not a curated record